CAGUCGCCACGGUAACACGUAGGUGGCAAGCGUUGUCCGGAUUUAUUGGGCGUAAAGCGAGCGCAGGCGGUUUCUUAAGUCUGAUGUGAAAGCCCCCGGCUCAACCGGGGAGGGUCAUUGGAAACUGGGAAACUUGAGUGCAGAAGAGGAGAGUGGAAUUCCAUGUGUAGCGGUGAAAUGCGUAGAUAUAUGGAGGAACACCAGUGGCGAAGGCGGCUCUCUGGUCUGUAACUGACGCUGAGGCUCGAAAGCGUGGGGAGCAAACAGGAUUAGAGACCCCAGUAGUCCCUGUCUCUUAUAC
RNAcentral lists this ribosomal RNA (301 nucleotides) under uncultured bacterium. RNAcentral's name for it is "partial 16S ribosomal RNA". It matches the Rfam family "Bacterial small subunit ribosomal RNA", at positions 509 to 807 of the family's 1533-position model. The record is from RNAcentral.